RNAcentral lists this ribosomal RNA (771 nucleotides) under uncultured bacterium. RNAcentral describes it as "bacterial SSU rRNA". It matches the Rfam family "Bacterial small subunit ribosomal RNA", at positions 8 to 796 of the family's 1533-position model. The record is from RNAcentral.
AGAGUUUGAUCCUGGCUCAGGACGAACGCUGGCGGCGUGCUUAACACAUGCAAGUCGAACGGAAAGGCCCUUCGGGGUACUCGAGUGGCGAACGGGUGAGUAACACGUGGGUGAUCUGCCCUGCACUUUGGGAUAAGCCUGGGAAACUGGGUCUAAUACCGAAUAUGAUCAUGGCCUUCAUGGGUUGUGGUGGAAAGCUUUUGCGGUGUGGGAUGGGCCCGCGGCCUAUCAGCUUGUUGGUGGGGUAAUGGCCUACCAAGGCGACGACGGGUAGCCGGCCUGAGAGGGUGUCCGGCCACACUGGGACUGAGAUACGGCCCAGACUCCUACGGGAGGCAGCAGUGGGGAAUAUUGCACAAUGGGCGCAAGCCUGAUGCAGCGACGCCGCGUGAGGGACGACGGCCUUCGGGUUGUAAACCUCUUUCAGCACAGACGAAGCGCAAGUGACGGUAUGUGCAGAAGAAGGACCGGCCAACUACGUGCCAGCAGCCGCGGUAAUACGUAGGGUCCGAGCGUUGUCCGGAAUUACUGGGCGUAAAGAGCUCGUAGGUGGUUUGUCGCGUUGUUCGUGAAAACUCACAACUCAAUUGUGGGCGUGCGGGCGAUACGGGCAGACUGGAGUACUGCAGGGGAGACUGGAAUUCCUGGUGUAGCGGUGGAAUGCGCAGAUAUCAGGAGGAACACCGGUGGCGAAGGCGGGUCUCUGGGCAGUAACUGACGCUGAGGAGCGAAAGCGUGGGGAGCGAACAGGAUUAGAUACCCUAGUAGUCC